AGAGUUGAUCCUGGCUCAGAUUGAACGCUGGCGGCAUGCCUUACACAUGCAAGUCGAACGGCAGCACGGGGGCAACCCUGGUGGCGAGUGGCGAACGGGUGAGUAAUACAUCGGAACGUGUCCUGUAGUGGGGGAUAGCCCGGCGAAAGCCGGAUUAAUACCGCAUACGAUCUACGGAAGAAAGCGGGGGAUCCUUCGGGACCUCGCGCUAUAGGGGCGGCCGAUGGCAGAUUAGCUAGUCGGUGGGGUAAAGGCCUACCAAGGCGACGAUCUGUAGCUGGUCUGAGAGGACGACCAGCCACACUGGGACUGAGACACGGCCCAGACUCCUACGGGAGGCAGCAAUGGGGAAUUUUGGACAAUGGGGGCAACCCUGAUCCAGCAAUGCCGCGUGUGUGAAGAAGGCCUUCGGGUUGUAAAGCACUUUUGUCCGGAAAGAAAACGUCUUGGUGAAUUUACGACGCCUGUGAGCGUCGUAGUAGACUCAGGCUUC
This 493-nucleotide ribosomal RNA is filed under the name uncultured soil bacterium. RNAcentral's name for it is "bacterial SSU rRNA". It matches the Rfam family "Bacterial small subunit ribosomal RNA", at positions 8 to 500 of the family's 1533-position model. The record is from RNAcentral.